This 377-nucleotide unclassified non-coding RNA is filed under the name uncultured Caryophanales bacterium. Its description in RNAcentral is "uncultured Bacillales bacterium contains 16S-23S intergenic spacer region". The record is from RNAcentral. Lineage: Bacteria; Bacillati; Bacillota; Bacilli; Caryophanales.
UCCGGUUUGUCACCGGCAGUCACCUUAGAGUGCCCAACUCAAUGCUGGCAACUAAGAUCAAGGGUUGCGCUCGUUGCGGGACUUAACCCAACAUCUCACGACACGAGCUGACGACAACCAUGCACCACCUGUCUCUCCUGCCCCGAAGGGAAUACAUGUCUCCACAUACGUCAGGAGGAUGUCAAGUCCUGGUAAGGUCCUUCGCGUUGCUUCGAAUUAAACCACAUGCUCCACUGCUUGUGCGGGCCCCCGUCAAUUCCUUUGAGUUUCAACCUUGCGGUCGUACUCCCCAGGCGGAGUGCUUAAUGUGUUGACUUCAGCACCAAGGGUAUCGAAACCCCUGACACCUAGCACUCAUCGUUUACGGCGUGGACUAC